UACGUAGGGUGCGAGCGUUGUCCGGAAUUACUGGGCGUAAAGGGCGCGUAGGCGGCGCGGUAAGUCACUUGUGAAAUCUCUGAGCUUAACUCAGAACGGCCAAGUGAUACUGCAGUGCUAGAGUGUGGAAGGGGCAAUCGGAAUUCUUGGUGUAGCGGUGAAAUGCGUAGAUAUCAAGAGGAACACCUGAGGUGAAGACGGGUUGCUGGGCCAACACUGACGCUGAGGCGCGAAAGCCAGGGGAGCAAACGGG
RNAcentral lists this ribosomal RNA (253 nucleotides) under uncultured bacterium. RNAcentral describes it as "partial 16S ribosomal RNA". It matches the Rfam family "Bacterial small subunit ribosomal RNA", at positions 524 to 776 of the family's 1533-position model. The record is from RNAcentral.